GUGGCUUAAUUACAAGUCCUUCCCUUCUAUGGCAGAUGAGAUGGUCCAAUUGGCCCAGUCGAAUGAAUUCUUCGAUCUCAUCCUUGAGUUGGAUACAGUUCUCAGUGUCAUGGUUAUGAUCAUGAUGGUAGAGACAAUACCUCUUCUAUAUGUGAUUUUUUGAUCGAAAUUUUAUUUUUCUUAGCCUGGGCAGCUGUUCUCUAAUCUUCAUAAGUAUCUAGGUUUUGGAGGCAUUCAGGGAAGUGUAGC
This 249-nucleotide long non-coding RNA is filed under the name Elaeis guineensis (African oil palm). RNAcentral describes it as "long non-coding RNA (EGUI_LNC009690)". The record is from RNAcentral. Lineage: Eukaryota; Viridiplantae; Streptophyta; Magnoliopsida; Arecales; Arecaceae.